GACGAACGCUGGCGGCGUGCCUAAUACAUGCAAGUUGAGCGCUGAAGGUUGGUACUUGUCCCAACUGGCUGAGCAGCGAACGGGUGAGUAACGCGUGGGUAAUCUGCCUUUGAGCGGGGGACAACAUUUGGAAACGAAUGCUAAUACCGCAUAAAAACUUUAAACACAAGUUUUAAGUUUGAAAGAUGCAAUUGCAUCACUUAAAGAUGAUCCCGCGUUGGAUUAGCUAGUUGGUGAGGUAAAGGCUCACCAAGGCGAUGAUACAUAGCCGACCUGAGAGGGGGAUCGGCCAACAUGGGAACGAGACACGGCCCAAAACCCUAAGGGAGGCAGCAGUAGGGGAUCUUCGGCAAUGGACGAAAGUCUGAACGAGGAACGGCGGGUGAGGGAAGAAGGGUGUCGGAUCGUAAAACUCUGUUGGUAGAGAAGAACGUUGGUGGGAGUGGAAAGCUCAUAAAGUGACGGUAACUACCCAGAAAGGGACGGCUAACUACGUG
Molecule: ribosomal RNA, 497 nt
Filed under: uncultured bacterium
Lineage: Bacteria
Description: partial 16S ribosomal RNA
Rfam family: Bacterial small subunit ribosomal RNA
Source: RNAcentral